GAUGAACGCUGGCGGCGUGCCUAAUACAUGCAAGUCGAGCGAACAGAUGAGAAGCUUGCUUCUCUGAUGUUAGCGGCGGACGGGUGAGUAACACGUGGGUAACCUACCUAUAAGACUGGGAUAACUCCGGGAAACCGGGGCUAAUACCGGAUAAUAUUUUGAACCGCAUGGUUCAAUAGUGAAAGACGGUUUCGGCUGUCACUUAUAGCUGGACCCGCGCCGUAGUAGAUAGUUGGUAAGGUAACGGCUUACCAAGGCGACGAUACGUAGCCGACCUGAGAGGGUGAUCGGCCACACUGGAACUGAGACACGGUCCAGACUCCUACGGGAGGCAGCAGUAGGGAAUCUUCCGCAAUGGGCGAAAGCCUGACGGAGCAACGCCGCGUGAGUGAUGAAGGUCUUCGGAUCGUAAAACUCUGUUGUUAGGGAAGAACAAAUUUGUUAGUAACUGAGCAAGUCUUGACGGUACCUAACCAGAAAGCCACGGCUAACUACGUGCCAGCCGCCGCUGUAA
Molecule: ribosomal RNA, 514 nt
Filed under: uncultured bacterium
Lineage: Bacteria
Description: partial 16S ribosomal RNA
Rfam family: Bacterial small subunit ribosomal RNA
Source: RNAcentral